UGGGGAAUCUUGCGCAAUGGGCGAAAGCCUGACGCAGCCAUGCCGCGUGAAUGAUGAAGGUCUUAGGAUUGUAAAAUUCUUUCACCGGGGACGAUAAUGACGGUACCCGGAGAAGAAGCCCCGGCUAACUUCGUGCCAGCAGCCGCGGUAAUACGAAGGGGGCUAGCGUUGCUCGGAAUUACUGGGCGUAAAGGGCGCGUAGGCGGACAUUUAAGUCAGGGGUGAAAUCCCAGAGCUCAACUCUGGAACUGCCUUUGAUACUGGGUGUCUUGAGUGUGAGAGAGGUAUGUGGAACUCCGAGUGUAGAGGUGAAAUUCGGAGAUAUUCGGAAGAACACCAGUGGCGAAGGCGACAUACUGGCUCAUUACUGACGCUGAGGCGCGAAAGCGUGGGGAGCAAACA
Molecule: ribosomal RNA, 402 nt
Filed under: uncultured bacterium
Lineage: Bacteria
Description: bacterial SSU rRNA
Rfam family: Bacterial small subunit ribosomal RNA
Source: RNAcentral